RNAcentral lists this ribosomal RNA (423 nucleotides) under Blastocystis sp. subtype 3. Its description in RNAcentral is "SSU rRNA". It matches the Rfam family "Eukaryotic small subunit ribosomal RNA", at positions 764 to 1190 of the family's 1831-position model. Lineage: Eukaryota; Bigyra; Opalinata; Blastocystidae. The record is from RNAcentral.
AAUUAGAGUGUUCAAAGCAGGCAUUUGCUUGAAUAUAUUAGCAUGGAAUAAUCAUGUAUGAUUUUCAUGAUGUAUUUGAUUGGUUUGGUUCAUGAGAAUAAGAUUAAAAGGGACAGUUGGGGGUAUUCAUAUUCAAUAGUCAGAGGUGAAAUUCUCGGAUUUAUGGAAGAUGAACAAGUGCGAAAGCAUUUACCAAGGAUGUUUUCAUUAAUCAAGAACGAAAGUUAGGGGAUCGAAGAGGAUUAGAUACCCUCGUAGUCUUAACUAUAAACGAUACCGACUAGAGGUUAGUGAAGGUCAUUGUGUCUUGACUAGUAUCUUAUGAGAAAUCAAAGUCUUUGGGUUCCGGGGGGAGUAUGGUCGCAAGGCUGAAACUUAAAGGAAUUGACGGAAGGGCACCACCAGGGAGUGGAGCCUGCGGCU